RNAcentral lists this ribosomal RNA (495 nucleotides) under uncultured bacterium. Its description in RNAcentral is "partial 16S ribosomal RNA". It matches the Rfam family "Bacterial small subunit ribosomal RNA", at positions 28 to 507 of the family's 1533-position model. The record is from RNAcentral.
GACGAACGCUGGCGGCGUGCCUAAUACAUGCAAGUAGAACGCUGAAGGAGGAGCUUGCUUCUCCGGAUGAGUUGCGAACGGGUGAGUAACGCGUAGGUAACCUGCCUGGUAGCGGGGGAUAACUAUUGGAAACGAUAGCUAAUACCGCAUAAGAGUAGAUGUCGCAUGACGUUUGCUUAAAAGGUGCAACUGCACCACUACCAGAUGGACCUGCGUUGUAUUAGCUAGUUGGUGAGGUAACGGCUCACCAAGGCAACGAUACAUAGCCGACCUGAGAGGGUGAUCGGCCACACUGGGACUGAGACACGGCCCAGACUCCUACGGGAGGCAGCAGUAGGGAAUCUUCGGCAAUGGACGGAAGUCUGACCGAGCAACGCCGCGUGAGUGAAGAAGGUUUUCGGAUCGUAAAGCUCUGUUGUAAGAGGAGAACGAGUGUGAGAGUGGAAAGUUCACACUGUGACGGUAGCUUACCAGAAAGGGACGGCUAACUACGUG